Non-coding RNA from Zonotrichia albicollis (white-throated sparrow), 1868 nucleotides. NCBI's taxonomy places the organism in Eukaryota, Metazoa, Chordata, Aves, Passeriformes, Passerellidae. The record is from RefSeq and is a predicted model, not a curated record.
AGAGGUAAGGCUUUUACUUGGAAAUGCACAGCAAAGUGUUCUCUGUAGGGGAGAAGGGAGGAGUAGCUUUUAGCAAUCCUGCAGCUGUGGAAAAGUCUGUCUCAGGAAAAAAAAUCAUGCCCUUCUAACUUUGGCUGAAAGCGUUCUACUGCCACCUAAUAGCAGCAACCAACUUUGCAUUUCACUUUGAAGACUGGCCCCACAGUGGGAAGCACAGCCAAAGUGUUCUCCUUUCCAGCUUUGGGAACACCUGGCCAGGACAAAUUACCAGGCUUUAAAAUAACUUCUUUACUGUCUGUUAAUUGCAGCAAGCCUCUGGAAGAGCCCAGCUGAAAUCUGCCAUCUCCUGUGCCAGGCUUUGACCUGCACUGGGAAACCCUUACUGAGUUCAAAGUAAGACCUGGAGCCACAACUGACAUGUGAAGUCACCUGCCUACCUUAUCACCUCCCCUCAGCUACUGCAGGAUUGCCUCCUUUCAUCCAAAGUCAUUUGUAUGUAUUCCCAACCCACCUCCUAGGAAAUAAUUAGCCAAGCCUCAGUGUUCACCCUACAGCUCUCCUUACUGCUCCUCACUGUUCUUUGUUCACUCUUUCCCUCUCUAUUUCAGUCACAGGGACUGAGGUAGCGUGUGCCUUACAGAGGGUGUGAGGAAUGAUGCAGAACAAGGGGUGGCUCUCAUCCUGUCACUUCCCUACAGAAGUCCAAGGCUUACUUUGGUCUGUUCCAAGGCUGAGCUGCACUGAGACUGUGAAUCUGGAGCACUGGUGUUCUGGCACACAGUCCUGCUGUCCUGUCUCAGUCACUCAGUGUUACCAACCCACCCUGUUUAUGUUUGUCCAUCUCCCAGGCCCACUUUGUCGACAAUGAAUGCAACUGGAUCUCACGUGCAUUGAAAAGCUGACCUUCACCAGCCCUCAUUCCCAGGAGAGAUUUCUCUACCCAAGGCGUUUUGGCUUCAAUCAUGUUUGCAUCAACUGCAUCAGCUAUACUGGGAAUGCUCCCCUGGAAUUGCUGCAGUCCCUUUUUCCAUCCACAGUGAAUUCCAUCUAAAGGACAGUGUGCUGGAAUUGAGCUUUCCUGGCCUAGCGUUGUGUGAUUGAUAACAACUUGGAAGAAUGAUGGAGCAUGGUGGAAAGGGAACAUGACCCCUGAAGGUGUUGAAGAUUAAGUUUUCCAAAUGCAAAAGGAAUCAUUCCUGCCUUUCCACACCAGCACUCAGGAGGAGGAAAGCAGAACUAGUGAGAGGACUUGUGAUUUGGUAUGUUCUUCUUCUCUGGAAAGAAGGAAUGAAUUUCCAGUCCUAGAGAGCUAAACUCUACCACAUCACCUGGCUACAGUGUGAAAUCCCUUCAGGACAGUUUUGGAGAUGGUGAUGGCACACAUACUGCCUUCUGAUGAUUUUCCCAGUGGUCGUUCAAGCGCAUGGCAUUCAGCUCAUUCCGAUUCUCCUCUCGCCUCUGCAGCAGCUUCUUAAAGGCUUCCAUUUGAACCUUCUGCAACCUGCAAGGAAAGAAAAGGCUGCAAAGGGAGAAAAGCUUUUCUAGGAAGAUACUUUCUGAGAAUGAACACUUUCUUUGGCAUGUGCCGUGUCAAUCAUUGUUACAGGGUUCGGAACAAGAGGCUGAGGACCUGGCUGUCCCCUGCAUCCCCUGCAUCCGCUGCAUCCUCUGCAGCUGACAGGGUACGCGACUCUCUCCUAGAAAGAGGUGCAAGAUGGAAGAUUGGUCACAGUCAUUAAAGAAAACUCUAAGCAAGCAAACCAGAAACAUGUCAGUCAAAGCAGCUUCUGGAACACCUGCUGGAAGCAGCCUAGAAAAGCUGAGAGGCCUGAAGAGAGAGAAUGAAAGUAAGACAACAAGGAGGAGCC